CCUACGGGAGGCAGCAGUGGGGAAUAUUGCACAAUGGGGGAAACCCUGAUGCAGCAACGCCGCGUGAGUGAGGAAGUAUUUCGGUAUGUAAAGCCCUAUCAGCAGGGAAUAGAAAAGAAGGUACCUGAAACAGAAGCCCCGGCUAACUACGUGCCAGCAGCCGCGGUAAUACGGAGGAUGCGAGCUUUAUCCGGAUUUAUUGGGUUUAAAGGGUGCGUAGGCGGGCUUUUAAGUCAGCGGUAAAAAUUCGGGGCUCAACCCCGUCCGGCCGUUGAAACUGGGGGCCUUGAGUGGGCGAGAAGAAGGCGGAAUGCGUGGUGUAGCGGUGAAAUGCAUAGAUAUCACGCAGAACCCCGAUUGCGAAGGCAGCCUUCCGGCGCCCUACUGACGCUGAGGCACGAAAGUGCGGGGAUCGAACAGGAUUAGAUACCCCAGUAGUC
This 440-nucleotide ribosomal RNA is filed under the name uncultured bacterium. RNAcentral's name for it is "partial 16S ribosomal RNA". It matches the Rfam family "Bacterial small subunit ribosomal RNA", at positions 338 to 795 of the family's 1533-position model. The record is from RNAcentral.